AGGCAGCCUGGGCCUGGGCUGGGUCUUGCGGAGUGUCGGGCAGCCUGCCGCGGUGCGCCCGUGUGUCUGUGCACCCCCUGGUGCUGCCUAGUCGGGCCCGGCCUGUGGUCGCUGUUCUGUCAGAGAUGUGUAGCACAACCUUCCUGUCCAGUCUGGGCCUCUGUGGAGCCUGGACUGUCUGCCUGUGGUGCUUCUUGUUACCCAGCUAACAAAAAGCACUACCUUGCAGGUGUGCAUCUACAAAGCUCAUUCACACAAAUUCACCAAGAAGAGGGGGUUGUGUCAGGAUCAAUAAAUAGUAAACAGCCCUUCCUCUGUCCCCUGCACCAUGAGGUGGAUGCUCUCUUCAUACUAUCCCUGUAGGAUAUUCCUAUAUAGAGCUGAAGGUGUGCUCCCCGAGCCGUCAGCUUGCCAGAGCUCAACUGGAUUUAAACACAGAAAUGCAGAGGCUGAGAAAUGAAAAUGAACCGUCAGCAGCUUUUGAAUCCAAAGUGCUGAACAUUGCCGUGAGCCCAGAAUAAUAAACUGCACUUCAAGACACAGACCCCGCUGAUGAAAUAUAUGUUCCAGAACCGGUUCUGACAACAACACUGGGGAUAAGCUGCGUGAGAUUCUUGAUCCGAUUUAGUAGCAGAACACAUGGCAUUGUUUGGAAAUUACAGAAAUAUUUUAGCGAGGGUGGAGGGGAAGUGAUGUUUAUAUCAGAGUUUGCAGCUUCACUUUGGGAGAAGAGUUUGCUUUACAGAAAAACUGUCUAAGAAGUAUGUACGUAUAGGAAGGGGUUUUUGUCUCAUUCUCCGGUUAUUCCUCACUCACUUAAUGUUGUCCAAUUUUUAGAUCUCUAAGUGUCUGCAGAUUUCCCUGGGGUACGUGUCACUCCAGGUGUUCAUUCAUUUCAAUGUUCUUUCCUGAAAAUUAAAAUUUUUAACUGUGUCUUGGAUUUACUGCUUUGUAAUUUGCCUUUUUUAAAAAGAAACCCCAACAAACUAUGUUAGUACCAUGCAGUGCUUUAACUUCCAUUUCUACAUUGAAAUAGCUAAAAGAUCUGAGGAUGUUUCAUAAAUUCAGAACUGUCUAGGCAGUAAAGAUCAGUGCAUAUAAAAUGUAUGUAACUGUAAACUUAACAUCUAGCCAUAAAAACUAAUGUCUGCAGGCACAGGAGAAGCUGAAUUAUUAACCCUUUUAUUGCAUGCAGGGCUUUUUAAGAGCUUUUGGCAUGGGCAAAUUUUAUAUUCAAUUUGGUAAAUGUGCUGAGGAAAAAGCAUAUUGUAUUCUUCAGGAUAAAAUCUAUUAGAAACUCUGGACCAACUUCUCAGUUAUUUCUCAGAGAAGGCAGCAAGGACAAGCAGGCAGUUUGGUGCUUGGAGUUUGUUCAUGCUCUCACGCUUCUGGGAUACUUUUGCAGAUCUUGGGGCUUUUGUAGAGGUCCAAGAAACCUGCAUCUUCUGAGCCAGUACUGGGACUGGUUGCAUGUCAGAAGAAAACUAAAUGAAAA
This is a long non-coding RNA of Neopsephotus bourkii (Bourke's parrot), 1495 nucleotides long. RefSeq lists it as uncharacterized. The record is from RefSeq and is a predicted model, not a curated record. Lineage: Eukaryota; Metazoa; Chordata; Aves; Psittaciformes; Psittacidae. The transcript has 3 exons.